AUGAUGCUGAUGGUCAUACCUGAUGCAUGUUAGGCAAGUGCUCUACCACUGAGAUAUACACCUAACCAUACAGACUGUUUGUAUACAUGGGACAAUAUUGAAAACUGUAGUAUAGAAAAUGCAAGUCAGGAACAUAGCUAUCUGUCAUCUUUAUCCAGGAUCCUGUGCUAUGUGUACAUGACUGGAUGGGCUGGAUUUUCAUGACUGGUAGUGUUUCAGGCUUAUUUAUAGCAUCAGCACCACAAUCACUCAAGCAGUAUGUUGUGCCAGCAUGCUACCAUGGCUAUGAGCUCAGUUAGGUGAAAGGAAUUUUCCACUCCAUGUAGCCUCCUGAAGUGACUGUCAAAUAAGAAGUCUGUGUUGACUGAAAUAUUACAGGGUUCAUGACUGUGUCUCUGUACCUGUUUUAUGUCAAUCCAAUACAUUUAAUCUACCUAUCAUUUACCUGUCUGUCUAUCUAUCAUCUAUCUAUCUAUGUGUAUAUCUAUGUAUCUUCUAUCAAUCUAUUGACUUACUAUAAAAAAUUGGCUUAUGCAAAUUAUGGAGACUAAGAUCUUCAAAGAUUUGCCAUUGGCAAGUAGGAGACUUAACCAUGGUAUACAGUCAUACCUGAUCUGAGCUUGAAGAUAAUACAGGCCAAAAGGAAGAAUUUUUACUGAUCAGGUUGGUAAUCAUCCACUUGGGUUGCUGAGUCAAAGGAAUCCUUCGGUGAUGUGGAUAGGGCCAAUCCACAUUGAGCAGAGCACAUAACUCAGUCUACCAAUUGAAAUGCUACUCUCAUCCAUAAAUACUCUCAACUUUCAGACUCAGAAUAAUGCUUAACCAAGUGUCUGGGUACCUCGGGGCCCAAUCAAGUUGACACAUAAGCUUAAUCAUAGCAAUAUGUUACUUUCUUUUAUACGAGGCAAUGCAUUUUGAUAUGGGGCAUAAAAUGAUUUUCUAACAACAGCAAAAGACAGAUAUCCAUUAUGAAUUAUAAUGCCUUUACUUAGAUAUUAACUUAGCUCAAGAAUGAUGCCUUGGGAAGAAACAGUUGUGUUAGUUGCUGCUAGACAUAUGUGCAUGGAUUGAAGGAAGAAGAGGCAGGUUGAUACUGGAGUUUAGAGUGCAAGAUAAUUAAAUCUAGAAAUGGGGUGGUAGGGAUGAAGAAGGAAAGAAUGGGAGAUUGUGGGCUUUAAGAGAACAAUUUACUAUUUCACAUUUUUUGGUACAAAUUCUCUAAUUCCUUUUUGUUCUUCCUUUACACUUGUUUCCCUUCAAGCUUUCAUGGGCCUUGUGUAUUAUUUCAGAUUUUUUAUGUACCUACCAAUAUGCCCAAUAUCAAUUUAUAAGACACGUUGACGGGACUCUGACUUAACACCUGCUUGUCCAGCUUCUGUUUCUCAUUCCCUGAGCACUAGUAUACACUUGAAACCAUAAGGUAGACUCCAUGUGUCAUUAUGUGCUGCUGUUUACUUCAGUUCUGGAUGGGAGUGUCCAAUGAGCAGAUUAUACGGGGGAGCUUACUUCAAGGGAACUUACUUCAAGCCUGAAGCUUAUGAAUAAUGCAUGACUCUCUGACUCAUCCAAAGCAAACGAUAAACAAAACCCAAACAGUUGGCCACCCCCUCAGCAAUCUGUAGACAGUGGUCCCAGCCCUUAGCAACUGUGAACAGCAAUAUUUGAAGGUAGCAGUGGAAAUCAUUGGUGCUGGCUAUCUUUAGCACUGGCCAUAUGUUUACUGGCACACUGUUAAGUCAGAAAAGUGACUGCACACAAGCAAAGAGAAAAAAGAUAUCCCCAUUACUUAAUUCAUUUUCUGUUGCUCUAAUGCACUACCACAGACCAAGCAAUUUAUAAAGAACAAAGGUUUAUUUGUAAGUUCUAAGGAUUAAGAAAUUCACAACUGAGCAGCUAUCUAUUACCCAUGAGUUUCUUCUUCAUGCAAGCUUCAUCUACUGAUUUCCUGGGAGGCAUGGGGGAUUACUCUGGAGGCACAACACAGAGCUAAAGUUCUUUUCUCUUAUUUAUAAAGCCAUAGUCUUGUUUGGAUUAGAGUUCCAUCCUUCUGGUUUCGCUUAAUUACCUCCCAAAGAUCAUAUCACCAAAUAGCAUAGUCAGUUUUAAUUUUCAUCCUUAAUGCUUCCCAUUGGAGAUUAAACUUCAAUGAGUUGAGGCAGGGAUUACUUAAACCAUAAUGUAAGGCAUCUGGCCAUGAAAGGUGUUAGCCAGAAGUCCUUCCUCACCACACACAGGGUCUUCUUCCCUGAACCUCUUCCAGUUUCCUCAAAACUGUAUCAUUUUAUCCUGGGGGAAAGCACAUUAAUAUUCAGAAGUUCCAAAAAAGAGGCUGAGAUGUCUCUAUUUCUAGGGGAUCUGACAUCCUCUUCUGGCCUCUACAGGCACCAGGCACAAACAAUGCACAGACGUAUUUUCAGGCAAAACACUCAUACCUAUUUAAAGAGAGGGAAGGGGGGUCUUAUUGUUGGCUUCAUUAGAAGUAUACAUUUACUCAUUGGGUUAACUGUCACUACCUCUCAGUGUCUUUUUUAUAGAUAAAGGAUGACCCAGCAUAAGAACCCCUGCUUCUUUUUGGUCUGCUCUGAAUCGACCUGACUUGUGGGCCACUGGCCCUUGUCUACUCUGGCCCACAAGAACUGCUCCUGAUUCCACGAGAGGACUGACUUUUGGAUUUUAUGCUUCUGACUAUGCCCCGAUCACAGAUAUGUAUUGACACCUCCUCCCACUAGAUUAUAAUGAAUCUUGGUAUCAGUUAGAUUCUUCUCCUACACACACACACACACACACACACACACACACACACACACACACACUCCCUCCAGAAGAGGGCUUCAGGCAUCUUUCUCUAUCACUCUCUGGCCACAAGGCAACACAAUGUCAUGGCAAGCUAUUUAAAGAAAGAUGGAUCCUCUCAAGCAAAUUCCAUCUUCUGCUAGUUUGCACACGUCCGUGCUGAACAUACAUGGGUGAGCAGCAGGAGAGCAACAGUGACAGAUGAGAAAAAGCAUCGCCGGCUCAGGAUGGGAACAAACAAGUGUAUUCCUGGCAAGCUAGUUCCAUGAAGAACCAUUCAUGCCCACAGCCUGUUGAGGGAGUUCCCAGCUUUGCUUUCAGACUUUAUCCAGUAGCACGUGGGCCUCAUUCUUUCAGGUUCAGUGGUCUUGGCCCAGCUGCAAGAAUAACUUGCAUGCACUGGCAACAGAAGCAGUUGCAAAGCUAUUGGAUGAGGACCAGGGGAGUAGAAACCUUUCUAUGUGUCUGCUUCUCAGAGGGUCAGUCUGGUUAAUCUUGGCACGUUGCUUGCUUGGGUCUGAAGCCAACUUCUGGGAGCUGGAGGCAUCUGUCUCCUUCAUCUUGCCUGGGGUCUGUCACAGGUGGCAAGUCCUACAAAUAGUCUAAAACUGCUCAGAACCUCAAUACUGUGGCCCACAGGGGGCAGAAUCCCUCCAAUGAGAUGUUGUCAUAGAGGAGGAAGAAUAGGAGGGAGUCUUGGGUCUAGAGAAGAGUUGUGAUUUGUUCAAGGUGACCUGAAAAAGAUUCUGGUUGAAAUGAAAACCAUCCAAAAAAGGAAUCAAAAAUGGGCAUAGUUACUGUCUCUCAUCAUCAAAUUUAAUUCAGUAAACUAUUGUCAUUAAAAGGGGAACAAUAGCUUCUGUAUACCCAGAGUCUGGCAUAUUGCUAACACAAUUUUAUACAAUGUGUUGCAGGAAGGUACUUAUUUGCCAGGUUAAUGAAGCAGUAGAUUGGGGGUUGGGGAGGAGGUGGGAAUCAGUAUCUGAGAGACACUGAUUGCUCUUUAUGCAUGACAAGUUCUUGGGCCUUGCAAUAUUGCUCUGUCCUUCCAGACUGUCUUAGGCUCACAGGACGCAGUACAACACCCUUUGAUUUCCUGCAAAUCACUAGCUAAUUGAGUGCUUUCUUUUUUCACUCCUGCAUCUGUCUCAUACACUGUUCCAUCUCUGGGCUUAACACCUUCUUUCCUUUUAGGGUCUCCCUUCAGUGUGCCCUUGCCUUGUAACUCCGAGAUAUGGUAGGUUAGUCCCUGCCUCAUAGCAAUUCAGUUGCUUCUCCUAACUUCAGCAUGGAGUCUGGCUUCAUUGCUGUUCCUUAAUCUCAGGGACAUGUAACGCAAGUUCUAAUAGGUCUUAAUGAAAGCCCGGAGUCAGAUAUUACGGGGUGAAAGCUGUAACAUCAGAGCAGCAGCCAGCCAGCCACUAGAGCUCUUCUCUGCACAAAAUCCUCAGACUGAAAAGAGACAGAGUUUCUGUCUUUCCCCAUUAUAUUUUCUCUCUCCACCCAGUCAUCUAACUUCCCAUUUGCCCUUACAGACCUCUAGACUUCUAUGGUUAGGUAGUGGCUAGCUCCACCCUCUGAUUUUCAGGCAAGCUUUAUUUAUUAGAGUGUCAACAAGAUAACACCACAGAGACAAGCCAGGUCGAAUCUACAUUCUGGCUAUUUUAUUCACUUAUUUUGUAUGUGUGUGUGUGUGUGUGUAUGCGUGCGUGUGUCUGUCCAUGUCACAGCUUGCAUGUGGAGAUCAGAGAAUAACUUGUGGAGUUCUCUCCUUCCUUCUUCUACCAUAUGAGUCUGGGGAUUGAAGUCAGGUAAGUUACCUCUGAGCAUCUCAUUGGCUGUCAUGGUUAUAUUUUGUUGGCUAGACUUUUAAGAAUAAAGUCCAUUUUAGACCAUCUUUACUUUGCCAUUUGUCCUCUUCUCACUACAGAUUCAUUGGGAGAAAGGGUCUGCAUGUCAGACUCACACUGAUAUGACAGGGCUAGAUCCUUCCAGUCUUCUUGGAUGUCCUCUUUUCUCAGCAUAAACCAGCUGUCUAUAUAGAGCACUUGGUUGCUACUCUGGAGACGUUCAUCUACUUACCCAGUGAGAAGUUAUGGCAGCCAUCCAUCCUCUUGGGAGCCCACCAUUAGCUCUCCACGGACCUGACACUUCUCAGUGACUCUCAGAAGAAAUGUGCAACAGCCCUUUGAAAUGAAAUGCUUUUCUGUUGAACCAGAAAACAAUCACAUCUUCCCAUUUAUUCUUUAGGGUACAAAUUGAUCUGACUUGAUUUGUCAGAGAGCCAGAACUGCAGGCAAAUAGACACCAGAGAAAUCAACCAAUCUUUUAAGCCAGCAGUAAUUGUUCCUCUUGUCGACUGGCUAAAUGACUUGUGUCUGGAGAAGAUGCUCAAAGUGAAUCAGAAUGCCUGAGGUGACAGAAACACAGAAUGCUCCAAAGUGGGCUGUAAUGAGAGUGUUUCUUUACAUCUUACCAGGCUUUGGUUUUGUGUUUUCCCCUUCCCUCUUAUCCUUUCUCCUGGGGCUAAUAUCGAGCAGAGAUCAAAGACAAUGCAUGCACAUGACACUGAAGACCAGUGUGGGAUAGAUUAAGUGAAUGAGGAAAGUAUUUAUUAGCAUUGAAUUCUAGGAUGAACUUAGUUGUACACGAGUCAUUAAUAAGUCCAUGAUGCUUCCAGAGAAGAGAGGCAUAUCAUCAGAGGGAGUGAAGACCCUUUACUGCAUUGUUUGUAAUAGCCAGAACCUGGAAGCAACCUAGAUGCC
This is a non-coding RNA of Cricetulus griseus (Chinese hamster), 5558 nucleotides long. The record is from RefSeq and is a predicted model, not a curated record. Lineage: Eukaryota; Metazoa; Chordata; Mammalia; Rodentia; Cricetidae.